CUCCUGGGUGAUGCAGAUGCCGUUAGGCAGUUGAAUGUGCUUGUGUAUUCUGCCUGUUUCCCUCCCUUCUACCCCUCCUCCAUGUGGCCACAGGCACUGGCAACCCAUGCUCUGCCACUGCUCCUGGCACCUCCAGGUAAGUCUCAGAAGACUCUGUCUGAAAUCUUGGAGAGCUGCUGGCACUCAGAGUCAUAGCUGUCAACUGUCCCUUAUUUAGCGGGAAACUCCCUUAUCCCAGCGCUAUGUCCCGCUGCUGUCCCUUAUUGAUGAUAUCCCUUAAAUUUCCCGGGUUUCAAAGGAAGGAGCUCCUCUCCCUCCCUCCCUCCCUGCUGGCCAGGGAGGAGGGAGGCUCCAUCUGUGUUGCUUGGCUGCGUUGCUCACCCAAUAAGGAGUCUAAGAAUGACUGGGGGGUGGAGCUUGCAUGCCUUGUGCCGAUCAAAUCGGCUGUGUUGCCUGGGGACUCGCCUUUGCUCAGCGCUUCCCAGUGGAGAGGUGACGGUGGUUUUCUUUGAGGCUUGAGGCUUUGUUUGGCUGCUGGCUGGGCUUUCUGCCUUUGGCUCGGAGGGGUUCAGAAGUUGAACAUACCUGUGCUGAGUGCUCGGAUCGGAAUCGGAUGGAUAUGUCAUCGAAUCGACAGCCCACUCAGCCUUGCCGGGGAAAAGGUCUGUCUGGAGUGGGGGCACAUGGUGGGGGAAAAGGAAAGGAGCUGGUUGAGUACAAUGGCGGGCGGUGACCUCGUGGGAGGGGGCGCUUUUGGAUUUGUUUUGGAGACCCCUUCAGUUGACUGUUAUGGGGAAAACGAAAGAAGCUGGUUGACUAAAAUCCUUAUUUUAGCUGCUGAUCCAUUAUUUUCGAGGCUGCUGGUCCCUUAUUUUCAAAUCUGUAAGUUGGCAGCUAUGGUCAGAGUGUACAAUACUGAGCUAGGUGGUCCAGUCUUUUGUGGGUAUAAUGUAGCUUCCUAGAUGGGACUGAUGGCAAAGUUUUAUGAGGAAAAUUUAUCCAGCUGUUAAAGAACUCAGGGAUGCCUACAGCUUCUGUCUCCCGGCAAAAUAGGAUAUAUUCAGAAGAUUCAGAAUACCAAUCUAAGUAGCAAAUGUAAAUUGGAUAGGAACAGAACCUCAGCUCCACAGGGGAAGAUUAAAACCCUGGCCAAUGCAGACAUCACACACAGACUGUCUGUGUUCUGGCCAGAGGGCGACAUACUGUACCAAUGGCUGAUGCUAUUAUUCUCUGUGUUAAUGAGCAAGGAGCAUUGAUAAUCUGCACAAGCUUGGGGGGAACAAACCCACUUGAAAUAUUUGAAGGCUUGCCACAUAAUGUCAACAUGACAGCAAAUGCAUUUGGUGUAUAUUCAGUGAUCAAAAGAGAGGCUUCCGUAAGAAAAUGUCACUUGCUAGUCAAACAAAUUGGAAGUGCAAAAAGAAGCCGCCUCAAAAUAAAGGGAUUUACCUCAAAUUCUGAGAGACAGGACAUGCAAGCAGGGAGAACGCUCUUAAGUACCUAGCAAAUCACCUGCUCUUCUAACUUCAUUUCUCUGCAGAAUAACUGUAUCAGGUGUUCGUGUGUCCUAGGAGUUCAGAAUCCUACUAAUCACAGGGGCUUUGUUAGCAUUUCACUCCUCUGUUGCUGGAUGUAUGAUUGUUAUAUCACAUGUCAGUGUUUACUUUCUAGGCUUGGAAAGUAUGAGAACAGAAGUCAGUCUUAUCUCUCUUCCGCUGUACUGUACUUUUGGAAAAGAAGUGAGAGGAUGCCAUGAUUGCUUUGUCCUGUAUAUAAAGGUAAAGGGACUCCUGACCAUUAGGUCCAGUCGUGUGCCCCCCAGGUGUGUUCCAACAGGCUCAAGGGGGUUUCCAGGAUGUGCUUCCUGCCCCCUCACCAUUUUCUGCACCCUCCACAAGUUGGAGUGAGACCUUCUGAAGUGGUCAGCCUACUCCAGUCAUGUAGGUCCUCCACACAUUUCAGAACCCUGGAAACAGAAAUGAACAAGAGAAUCAACAAGGGUUAAAAGUUGUUAUUAUUAUUAUUAUUAUUAUUAUUAUUAUUAUUAUUACCCUGCCCAUCUGGCUGGGUUUCCCUAGCCACUCUGGGCGGCUCCCAACAGAAUAUUAAAAACACGAUAAAACAUCAAACAUUAAAACCUCCAUAAACAGGGCUGCCUUCUAUGUCUUCUAAAAGUCAGAUAGUCAUUUAUUUCUUUGACAUCUGAUGGGAGGGUGUUCCACAGGGUGGGCACCACUACCGAGAAGGCCCUCUGCCUCGUUCCCAGUAACCUCACUUUUCACAGUGAGGGAACCACCAGAAGGCUCUCAGAGCUGGACCUCAGUGUCCAAACUGAACGAUGGGGGUGGAGAAGCUCCUUCAAGUAUACUGGGCCGAGGCCGUUUAGGGCUUUAAAGGUCACCACCAACACUUUGCAUUGUGCUUGGAAACGUACUGGGAGCCAGUGUAGGUCUUUCAGGACAGGCGUUAUAUGGUCUCGGUGACCACUCCCAGUCACCAGUCUAGCUGCCGCAUUAUCCAACACAGGAAAAGUUUCCUGUGUUGAGGUAACCACCUGAGGAAUGGACCAUUAGGACUGCAAUGGGUCAAAGGAACUCACCAUAGACAGCAAAGAGGCGAGGCCCCUUUCGCUCAAGAGAUAAAGCUAAGAGCUUAGAGAAGAGGGGGAAAGAGCAAUGUGGGCCAGAAACUUAGAGAGCAGGGGUUAUGUGACAAGAAGAAAGCAGGAGGCAGAGAAAUGAUGGAGGUCUGUUGAAACCCAAGACUGCUCCUAUGGUAGAAGCAAGACUCUCUCGGGAUGUGAGAGUAGCUCAGGUUGUAUAUGUGUGCAAAUAAACCAUAUAUCUGAAAGACACCACAGUCUCAUUUUGCCUAAAGGAAGCACAGACUUGAAUAAUUGUUGCCUGAAAGAGAUUAGAGAUUAGGGUGGCUUGUAACAAUGUUGUUGUUUAGUCGUUUAGUCGUAUCCGACUCUUCGUGACCCCAUGGACCAGAGCACGCCAGGCACUCCUGUCUUCCACUGCCUCCCGCAGUUUGGUCAGACUCAUGUUCAUAGCUUUGAGAACACUGUCCAACCAUCUCGUCCUCUGUCGUCCCCUUCUCCUUGUGCCCUCCAUCUUUCCCAACAUCAGGGUCUUUUCCAGGGAGUCUUCUCUUCUCAUGAGGUGGCCAAAGUAUUGGAGCGUCAGCUUCAGGAUCUGUCCUUCCAGUGAGAACUCAGGGCUAAUUUCCUUAAGAAUGGAUGGAAAUUAGCCCUGAGUGCUCACUGGAAGGACAGAUCCUGAAGCUGAGGCUCCAAUACUUGUAACAAUAUGUUAUCCAAAUUAUAAAUGCUCGGUGGACAGUCUUUCUGGCUGAAUGCUGUUUCAUUAAGAAAUAUAUGCUAAUAUGUUAAAAAAGAGAAAUAAUCCUUAAUUUGUGGUUUUUGGGGUGUGUGUGUGUGUGUGUGUGUGUGUGUGUGUGUGUUUUAGUAUCCCUUACAAUCAUCUUGAUUAAUUCAUCCCUAUUCCUUAAGUAAUGACACUUUAUAGGAGAGCAAAGUCUCUUGUUGUCACUACUUGCUAGUAACGAACAUGCUGAUCAACAUGCUAAUUACAGGGGUUCUUUUUUAACAGUCUUUUUUAUCAUUCUCAAAUGAAUAAUGCGCAGCAGCUGUGACAUUGAACAAGGGUGCUAUAAUUGCAAUAACCAAAGCAAGAGAGAAAUUGUUUAAUAGUCUCAUAAAAUGCGUAGCCUCCUUCCAGGACAGAUUUUUCUUGCCCUGCCUGUGAUUUAGGAGCCAUCCGCCAGUGUUCAGAUUCUCAUUCAUGCUAUUGGACUGAGCAGCUUGCAUCGACACAGGUUUGGAACUCGGUGGUGCCAUAUUCAGCAGUUAGGGCUUCCUGGCGCCAUCUGCCCAACAUUACAGAAGCGUCCCCAAAAUUUGUCCCGCCGUCCUCGUUCCUGUACCUGCCUGAUUUGUCAAAGAAUACCAUUGGCUUUUGUGUUCCUUCAGCUGAUGUUUUCCAUCUGAGUCACAGUAAGGCAUAGGGAUGUGGGGGUGCUUUGAAAUGAUCACAAAAACAGAGGUAUCUCGCUUUCAAAUUCAAUAUAUGGCAGACGUCUACUUUCAUAAUACAUGAAAACAAGAGACAAAAGUGAUAUCUAAAGGGGGAAAGAUUGCUUGAGAGAAUAGGGGAUUUGAUUGUUGUUGUUUUGCUCAUUGCAAUGCAUUCGUCCACCCGACUGCCCCAGACAAAAACACAGUGUUUUAUUUGUUUUUUGCUCAAAAAUCCAGUUUAAUAAUGGGAUAUUUUGACACUUCUCAUAUACUCGACUCUCUUUUUUAUAAUAAUAUUUUAUUCUUUUUUCCAUGUGGAAAGUUACAUUUGUUACUCGACAUUUACAUUCCAAUUCACCAGAACUAGUGGCUUUCCACUCACCCAACAAAGAUGUUUCAAACUCAAAUUGCAUACAUUUGCAUUUUAAGGUUCUUUCUUAUCUGCUUUCAGCCUCUCUACAUGUUUCUUAAUAUAUUCUGCUAUUUUCCUACACUUCAAACCCCAAAAUGUUAAAAUGCUAUCACCGCAUUCAACCUUCUCCUAGGCCAAGCGUUCAGAGAAGGAGAAGGAAAUGACUACUAUAGUAGGAUUACCAGAUGUCCCCGGAUUUGCAAAUCUGUCCACGGACAAAUUCCGUUCCCGGAAUGUCUCCAGAUUUGCAAAUCUGUCCCCAGGAAAUGUGGCAGCGGCUGCCUUAGCAAUCGCCAUUUUUCCUCGUGGGAAGUCACAACACAUCAUAUGGGGACUUCCGGCGAGGCAAAAUGGCAGGCGCCACAGCAGCGAGCAGCUCCUGAAGCCAGCCAGAGUCAACUGCGCUACCAGGCUGGAUCCGGGCUGCUGACUGUGCUGCUGCUGCCACUGCUGAAGGGGAACCGGAGACGUCCAGCAGUAAAGAUCUCCUGCCCCCUUCCCCCUUUGUUUUGACUGAUCAGGGGAGGCUCUGGAGUUGUGCACGGCCAGCCGAUGUCCAGUUUUUAAAAAACUCUGCACAUUUAUGUUUCACAGGGUGCACCUUUAUACAAUAUGCAUGUGUGCUUGGGCCCAGGGUCUUUUGCCUCACCAUCCCCACUAUUGACUCCAUGUUGCUACUCAGCUUAAAAAAAAAAGUGUCCCCUGAUUCACUGAAAAAAUCUGGUAACUGUUAAGUUGUGGGUGAACAUAUCAGACGACACAGCGAUUCUUCAAACAGCUCUGGUUUAUUCACAGGCCAGAACAGAACAGAACUGAACUGAAGGGUUCAGCCAGCCUGCUUGUAUAGAGCUCCAGUACACCGUAACUGUAACAAUUUUCUAAAACUAUCCAAUCACUGAAUGUCACUUUCAAUCCCUUAUUUGCAUAACUAUCUACAGUAUCCCCCUGCUGAUCCAGGGUGAGAACUUCAGUACAUAACAGUAACCAUAUACUAUAGUACUAAGGAACUUCACCAACCUGCCCAAACCGCCCCACACAAACCCAAACACACUCACAGUAUGUAAAAUGGGGAAUACCUUUGUGGAAUGCCUUCCCAAGAGAACUCUGCUUCAUACUUUUCUUAUUAAGCUUUAGGUGCCAGGCUAUUAUUACUUGUCUGAGCUGUUACUGUGCAGCUACUUCGUUUCCCUCCGUUAAAAACUUUUGUACAGCAUGUUUUAUUUGUGGUUCGAUCUGACGCUUCCACAAUUUCUUUGCGUCUGCAGCUGUUUUUAUUUGCUGUUCUAUUUUAAAGUGGUUUCCAUCUCUUUUUUAAUGUUCAGAAACAUAGGACGCUGUCUUGUCCUGAGUCGGACUAUUGAUCCUUCUAGCUGAGUGGCCAAUUGAUCUAGCUAGCUCAGUGGUGUCUGCACUAAGUGGAAGCGUCUCUGUACGAUUUCAGACAGGAUAUGGUCCUAGCCCUCCAUCUCAUGGAUUGAAGUUGAAUGCAAGACAAAUGCUCUACCAAUGAACUGUAUCGCUUCCCCAUUUAUUGCGAGCUCCUGGGGUUUUUUCUUCUUUAUAAGUAGGAUUUUUUACAACAAUAAAAAGGCAGUUUUCAUAUAUAGAAUAAUAAUAAUAAUAAUAAUAAUAAUAAUAAUAAUAAUAAUAAUAUAUUUAUACCCCGGGCAUCUGGCUGGGUUUCCCCAGCCACUUUGUGCGGCUCCCAACAGAAUAUUAAAAACACGAUAAAACAUCAAACAUUAAAAACUUCCCUAAAUAAGGGUUGCCUUCAGGUGUCUUCUAAAAGUCAGAUAGUUGUUUAUUUCUUUGACAUCUGAUGGGAGGGCGUUCCAGAGGGCGAGUGCCACCACUGAGAAGGCCCUCUGCCUGGUUCCCUGUAACUUGGCUUCUCGCAGUGAGGGAACCACCAGAAGGCUUUCGGAGCUGGACCUCAGUGUCCGGGCUGAACAAUGAGGGUGGAGCAUAAAUGUGUCUACUCUGAGUAGGACUUUGUUGAAUUCCACCCACAUUAAUCAAUAUGCAUGCCUCGUGCCUUUUUCCUACAUAAAUGCAGGGCUUUUAUUUUUUCAACCAGAGCUUACAGGAGCUCAGCUCCAGCACCUCUCAGGUGGGCACCAUUGCCAUUGCCAUUCUAAGAGAACAAGGGAGAAGUUUGUUGUGAGCUCCAGCACCUCUUUUUCUAGAAAAAAUAGAAAUUUUUUUCUAGAAAAAAAUGUGCUGUUGAAGAGGAGAUUUAUAAUGUUGGAAGGGGACCUGAAGGCCCCAAUAACCGACAAUAAAUAAAGAUCAAACUCCACUUGUUUGUGUGUAUAAUUAAGUUGCAAUGGAUAGAAAAUAGAGAUUCCUGUGAACCAGGAGUUUAGAACUGGUGUCAGUCCCAGGAGGCAUGGCCCAUGACCAGGAAUAAUGGGAGUUGUAGCUCAACAACAUCUGGAGGGCUGAAGAUUCCCUACAGCUGCUGUAAAGGUUAACCCUAUUCAAGCUUUCAUUGAUGGUCUCCAUAGAGAACAAGGCCAAUCACCCUCCAACAUUCCUGCUUUGGGUGGAGAGGUCUUUGGGUGGAGGGAAAUUGGAAACUGGGACCCAGUUACAGUCCACUCCACAACCAGGAUAUAUGAUCACAAAGAAGACUUAAAACCUUCCUGCUGGGUGGGAUUCAAGGGAUCGGGGGAGAUGUCACAAGGACACAAAUAUAGCAUAGUUUAUAUAUAUGUAUAUAAAAAGGUAAAGGGUAAAGGGACCCCUGACCAUUAGGUCCAGUCGUGGCCAACUCUGGGGUUGCGGUGCUCAUCUCGCUUUAUUGGGCGAGGGAGCCGGUGUACAGCUUCUGGGUCAUGUGGCCAGCAUGACUAAGCCGCUUCUGGCGAACCAGAGCAGCGCACGGAAACGCCGUUUACCUUCCCGCUGGAGCGGUACCUAUUUAUCUACUUGCACUUUGACGUGCUUUCGAACUGCUAGGUUGGCAGGAGCAGGGACCGAGCAACGGGAGCUCACCCCAUCGCGGGGAUUCGAACCACUGACCUUCUGAUCUGCAAGUCCUAGGCUCUGUGGUUUAACCCCCAGCACCACCUGCGUCCCAUAUAUGUAUAUAUAUUCUAAAAAUGGCAGCUGAAUAUAAUCUCUCUCUACAAACAGCUUGUUCAUAUGGGAGCCAUUUUGACACCUACCCUUUGGAAUUUCACCCCAACUCCUAUUAUAUAUAAGACAGGCACCCUCUCUGUUGUCUUUCCAGUACCUACUGAAAGCCUUCCACUUCCAACAAGCCUUUUAAGUACAGCUCUUUCCCAGUCUGCACUUGUAUUGUACGUGUUUUUAGAUGUUUUCCUUCUUUUAUCAUUCGUGUGCCUGCCAGCCUGGGCUCCACUGGGAGGAAGAGGGCAGAAUAUAAAUGUAAGAACGGAAGAAAGAACUAUGGUUAACAGCGCAAGUCUGUUCAAAAGUAAGUUACAUUGAUUUCAGUGGGGCUUGCUCACAAGUAAGUGGGUACAGGAUUGCAGCUUAAAUUUCCCCCUUCUAAAAUUAAGAAAGCAUCUUUCAUCUUAGCGCUGUAGCAGAUCUGAAACGCUUUUAUAGAUGAGAAUACCUGGAACAUUUAAUGGCAGAAAUACUAUUUCGCUGGCAGUCGCAGAUCCAUACUUGUGAUGGAAAGGUUUUCACUCCUUUGUGAUAACUUGCUGUCCAAAACCAUAAGAACAUUAUUUAGGCGCAUUAAAUCUAAAACCUUCACACACUUGCCUCUAAUGUUUCUUAGGAAUGACAAUGUGAACAUUUUCAAGGGCACAGACCACAGGGAUUAUUUAUAUACGGUGUGGGCCAAGUUAAGGUAAGCAUUGACAUAAUAUUUAUAAUCUCAAAGGUUACUAAAUCAGAAAUACUGUAGAAUUCCAUUAGCAAGGCAAGCUGCAUCAAUGGGAGGUUGUGAUUUAUUCAAGUUAUAAAUUGCUCUAGAAAUGGUUAUGGUCUCCUUCAGGCUGUCCAAAUACACCUGAAGAUUCAUUAGUUUGGCAGGGUAAUUUUAGCUUAUUGGGAUGAUUAUAAGAGGAGGUGGUACUGAACUAGGUAAGGGCUCAGGAAGCUUUUUCACCUUGAGGACCACAUUGCUCCUGGGCAAGCUUCGAGGAGCCUAAUGUUAACAAUGGGUGGAGCAUUAUCGUAUGUCGUGGUCAUGUGGGAUGGUAAAAGCUUUCUGGGAAAUGAUAUAUAAUGAAAAAAAUGUUUAAAAUUGUUAUGUACUGAAGUUCUCACCGUGGGCCAGCAGGGGGAUACUGUAGAUAGUUUUCACUCAGGUCGACAUAUGCAAAUAAGGAACUGAAAGUGAUGUUCAGUGAUCGGCUAGUUACAGAAAGUUAUUACUGUUGCAUUGUAGUGGAGUGCUAUAUAAGCAGCCUGGCUGAACCCUUCACUUCAGUUCUGUUCUGGCCUGUGAAUAAACAAAAGCCGUUUGAAGAAUCGCUGUGUCAUCUGAUAUGUUCACCCACAACUUAACAAAAAUAACUUUCGUUAAAAAAGCAGAGGCUUUUUUGUUAAGCAUUAUAGACACGAAACUACCAAAAGAAAAGAAAAUGCUGUUUAUGUAAGAUAAAGGUAAAGGACCCCUGGAUGGUUAAGUCUAGUCAACGGUGACUAUGGGGUUGUGGUACUCAUCUCGCUUUCAGGCCAAGGGAACCAGCGUUUGUCCAUAGACAGUUUUCUGGGUCAUGUGGCCAGCAGGACUAAACCGCUACUGGCGCACAGAGAAAGCAUGCUUUCUAACUGCUAGGUUGGCAGGAGCUGGGACGGAGCGAAGGGAGCUCACCCUGUAGUGGGGAUUCGAACUGCCGACCUUCCGAUUGGCAAGCCCAAGUGGCUCAGUGGUUUAGACCACAGUGCCACCUGCAUCCCUGCUGUUUAUGUAUGCAACGACAGCAAGCAAGGAUGCUUCUUGCCCGGAGAUGUAAAGUACCAACCAGAGAAGAGUGGCAGACCAAGCUGAUGGAAUAUGCAGAAAUGGCAAGACUGACGGGAAAGAUCAGAAAUCAGGAAGACCAAGUAUUUUUAAAAGACUGGAAUACCCUUCUAACGUAUUUGAGAGAUCACCGUAAACGGCUGAAAUCAUUGGCAGGAAUACAAUGACCUUUGUAAUGUAACUUGGAUUUUGGAUACUAUGAUUAUAUAGAUUACAGUAAAAGAUGCAGGAAUAAAAUUAAGAAUUGGAACCCAUGGAGGAAGGGAAGGAAGGAGGUCUCAAGGUUCGAAAGAACGCUUUUCUUUUUUAAUAUGUGAAAAUGUUAUGUUUUAUGUAAAACUGAUACAAAUUUAUAUACUGUCAGAUGGCUGUUGCGGAUGCUCGAGAGUAAACAGACAGGACUCCAAGCUGUCUUUUACCUGGCUUUAUUUUGGUGCAAAUUAUUUACAGUGAAGAGCGUCAAAAGUUCAUGUCUGGCUCAAUCGCUAGCAGAAUCCAAGAGUGGUCUUUUUUUGUAUCUCCCCCAACAUAGAAGUUUUGUUAUCCCCAACCGUCUCCGCCCCUCUCUGCACCCCAGACUACUGCGCAGGAUGGGUGAUGGCAAGGGCACGUGAAGCCUCCAGAGGGCGGAGCUUUCCCUCUGCGCUUUGGAAGCUUCACGUUGCAAUCGCUGAAGCUAAGGAGCCUGCAUUCGCUCCAUAGGACGCACACACAUUUCCCCUUAAUUUUUUGAGGGGGGAAAGUGCGUCCUAUAGAGCGAAAAAUACGGUACCAUAAAUUGCUAGAUACCUCAAUGAUCACUAUCUUACCCCUUCUCUGUAUCCUGCUUAGGGUGAAGACUUAGUGAAUGAUGACAAGAAAUAGGGCCUACACCAAUAUUGUGAAGCACUUUGGCUCAUGAAGCACAAACAGUCUUCUCUCUGACUAUCUCCAGCCUAUUGAUAAAGACAUUUUUAUUCCAGUACCUUUGGCCUGCU
Non-coding RNA from Podarcis lilfordi (Lilford's wall lizard), 10376 nucleotides. The record is from the annotation of a GenBank genome assembly. Lineage: Eukaryota; Metazoa; Chordata; Lepidosauria; Squamata; Lacertidae.